AUGAACGCUGGCGGCGUGCUUAACACAUGCAAGUCGAACGAGAAGUGAAGACGGAAACCUUCGGGCGGAAGGCUUUAUUUCGAGUGGCGGACGGGUGAGUAACGCGUGGGUAACCUGCCUCAUACAGGGGGAUAACAGUUGGAAACGACUGUUAAUACCGCAUAAGACCACAGCACCGCAUGGUGCGGGGGUAAAAACUCCGGUGGUAUGAGAUGGACCCGCGUUCGAUUAGCCAGUUGGCGGGGUAACGGCCCACCAAAGCGACGAUCGAUAGCCGAUCUGAGAGGGUGACCGGCCACAUUGGGACUGAGACACGGCCCAAACUCCUACGGGAGGCAGCAGUGGGGAAUAUUGCACAAUGGGGGAAACCCUGAUGCAGCGACGCCGCGUGAGUGAAGAAGUAUUUCGGUAUGUAAAGCUCUAUCAGCAGGGAAGAAAAUGACGGUACCUGAGUAAGAAGCCCCGGCUAACUACGUG
Molecule: ribosomal RNA, 477 nt
Filed under: uncultured bacterium
Lineage: Bacteria
Description: partial 16S ribosomal RNA
Rfam family: Bacterial small subunit ribosomal RNA
Source: RNAcentral